GCCCAUCUCCUAAUCCCCAGACCUUGUGAAAGGAACUUCACACACGUGGUUAAGUUAAGGAACUGGAGACGGGAGAGUAUUCUAGAUUGUCAAGGUGGGCGUAAUUAUCAAAAUGGUCCCUAUAAGGGAAGAGUGGGGCAGAAGAGUCAGAGAAGGAAAUGUGAUGACGAGAGCGGAGAACCAGAAGAAUGCAGCAUGAGAAAGACUUGACCAGCCGUGGCUGGAUUUGAAGAUGGCGGAAUGGAGCCACAAGCCAAAGAAUGAGGGCAGCCUCUAGAAGCUGGAAAAGUGGAAGAAAAUUGAUCUUCAUGACAGACCAUACUCCUCUGAAAGCAUCCCCAAGCCAUCACCAUGACUGUUUGGGGUACAACCUUCUAUUAUAGGCAGCAUUGGGGCCAUCCGCCUUUGUCCAACGUUCUCAGUGGAAAAUUUCUGUCUAGUUUACAAGCAUGAAAUUCAAAAAGCCAAAAAAUUUGUCAAGAAGCCAUCAGGGAGGCUAAGGAAAAAAGGCUACGAGCUAAGAUAUAGGGAAAUUUGACACGUGAAGAUCUGCCAGAUUUCAAAGGAACCACUUGUUCUACUUGUCUCAUGUACUUUUGGAAAAAAAUAUCAGGAAUCAAGUCCAACUAGGAUAAAAUAUAUUUGACAGAGCUUUCACCUGUGUGAAGACGUACUGAUCUUUAAGAGCGGAUGAAAGUAGAGAAGAUGAUAGAGGACACGAUAAGUCGGAUUCUCACACACACGUGAAACCACCCUACAAAUGUUUCAUUGCAACAUGCUGUUUCAAUUAUCAUUCUCUGCAAUAUUUUGAGGGGAAGUUUCCAGGCAAAAUGCCCCAUGAUGGCUACCAAUAGGCCAUAUGGAAAUGAUGAACAGUCUGUCUGUGUUUGCUUUCACACACAUGAACCAGUCUAAAUGAUUUGAUUAAGUUUACCAAACUUCUCAGUCAAAAAGAGGAACUGUGGAGUCAGUUGCUUGUUUGUUUCCCUUCAUACAAUGUUAGACUAGAAAGAAUCUUAAAAUCCAUCUAUUCCAGCUCUUUUGUUUUACUGUGUAAUUAACUUGCCCAAGGUCACAUAGGCAGUUAGUGCCAAAAUGAAGUGAUCAUUCUAUGCCAUCGUUGUUCUAUCAUAUCUGACAUAUUUGUAUUUUUUAUUAAUUUACAUAAGUCUGAUAGUACCUCUGACAGCAGUCUACAUAAUACUUAUUUCUUAGUUUGUUGACUAUUUAAAUAAACAAUAAAUACAAUUUUCUUUCUUUCUUUUGUUUUUGUUGGUGAGGAAGAUUCACUCUGAGCUAACAUCUGUUGCCAAUCUUCCUCUGUUUUUGCUUGAGGAAGAUGAGCCCUGAGCUAACAUCUGUGCUAAUCUCCCUCUAUUUUUUGUAUAUGAGUUGCCACCACAGCAUGGCUUGAUGAGCGGUGUAGGUCCAUGCCCAGGAUCCGAACCCGUGAACCCGGGCCACCAAAGCAGAGCAAGCAGGACUUAACCACUACACCAUGGGGCCAGCCCCAGCAUUUUCAUUUUUGAGACAUGCUUUUACUUCUAUUCAAAUGCUGCAUGCAGCAUGCUCUU
This is a long non-coding RNA of Equus asinus (donkey), 1574 nucleotides long. Lineage: Eukaryota; Metazoa; Chordata; Mammalia; Perissodactyla; Equidae. The record is from Ensembl.